This 1974-nucleotide ribosomal RNA is filed under the name human gut metagenome. Its description in RNAcentral is "bacterial LSU rRNA". It matches the Rfam family "Bacterial large subunit ribosomal RNA", at positions 3 to 1989 of the family's 2925-position model. The record is from RNAcentral.
UUAAGCUACAAAGGGCAUAUGGCGGAUGCCUAGGCGUUCCGAGCCGAUGAAGGACGCGAUAAGCUGCGAAAAGUCAUGGGGAGCCGCAAGUAGGCUUUGAUCCAUGAAUCUCCGAAUGGGGCAACCCAGUACAAGUUAUGUUGUACUAUCUACGGAAGGCACACCCGGUGAACUGAAACAUCUAAGUAGCCGGAGGAAGAGUAAUCAAACGAGAUUCCCAUAGUAGCGGCGAGCGAACAGGGAAGAGCCCAAACCGGACGUCUUCGGACGACCGGGGUUGAGGACCAGCAUCAAGGGAAGAGCUUUUAGCUGAACAGUCUGGGAAGGCUGAGCACAGACGGUGAAACUCCGGUAAGCGAAAAGAGCUCCAACGGGCUGGUAUCCAGAGUACCACGAGACACGAGGAACCUUGUGGGAAGCAGGGUGGACCACCAUCCAAGGCAAAAUACUACGGAACGACCGAUAGCGCAUAGUACCGUGAGGGAAAGGUGAAAAGAACCGCGGGAGCGGAGUGAAAUAGAACCUGAAACCGUAUGUCUACAAGCAGUCGAAGCACUUUAUAGGUGCGACGGCGUGCCUAUUGAAGAAUGAACCGGCGAGUUAAUUUCAGAGGCGAGGUUAAGCGGGAGACGCGGAGCCGAAGCGAGAGCGAGUCUGAAUAGGGCGCAAGUCUCUGGGAUUAGACCCGAAACCACAGUGAUCUAUGCAUGGCCAGGUUGAAGCUCAGGUAAAAAUGAGUGGAGGACCGAACCCGUGAGUGUUGAAAAACUUUGGGAUGAGCUGUGCAUAGGGGUGAAAUGCCAAUCGAACGUGGAGAUAGCUGGUUCUCCCCGAAAUAGCUUUAGGGCUAGCCUCAGGUAACACAUGAAGACGGUAGAGCACUGAUCGGGUAAGGGAGCGUAAAGCUUACCGAGCCUAGUCAAACUGCGAAUGGCUUCAUGAGAAGAGCCUGGGAGUCAGAAUGCGAGUGAUAAGACCCGUAUUCAAAAGGGAAACAGCCCAGACCGCCGACUAAGGUCCCGAAUGCUGUACUAAGUGGAAAAGGAUGUAGGACUUCCAAAACAACCAGGAUGUUGGCUCAGAAGCAGCCACCAUUCAAAGAGUGCGUAAUAGCUCACUGGUCGAGAGGCCCUGCGCCGAAAAUAUCCGGGGCUCAAGUACAGAACCGAAGUCGCGGGAUGCGCAAGCAUCGGUAGGGGAGCGUUCCAAGGGCGUUGAAGGCCGACCGGAAGGACGGCUGGAGCGCUUGGAAGUGAGAAUGCUGGUAUGAGUAGCGAAACGAUCCGUGAGAAUCGGAUCCACCGAAAGCCUAAGGGAUCCUGAGCAACGCUCGUCGACUCAGGGUAAGUCGGGACCUAAGCCGAGGCAUAAAGCAUAGGCGAUGGACAACAGGCGAAAAUUCCUGUACUGCAUGAUGUUGUUUGAGGAUGGAGUGACACAGCAAGGAGCUUGAGCGCGCGACUGGAAAUGCGCGUCGAAGGCGGUAGGCUGAGUGAGAGGCAAAUCCCUUACUCAAGGCCGAGAACUGACAGAUAGGAGCGUACUUCGGUACAAUCCGAAUUCAAGCGUACUACACUGUCGAGAAAAGCUUCUAACGAGACAUCAUGUACCCGUACCAAAACCGACACAGGUAGGCGGGGAGAGAAUCCUAAGGUGCGCGGGAAAACCCUCGUUAAGGAACUCGGCAAAAUGCAUCCGUAACUUCGGGAGAAGGAUGGCCGGAGCUGGUGAAGAGAUUGACUCUUGGAGCUGGAGCCGGCGGCAGAAGAGAAGCCCAAGCGACUGUUUACCACAAACACAGGUGCCUGCUAAAGAGAAAUCUGACGUAUAGGUGCUGACACCUGCCCGGUGCUGGAAGGUUAAGGAGAGAUGUCAGGAGCAAUCCGAAGCAUUGAACUGAAGCCCCAGUAAACGGCGGCCGUAACUAUAACGGUCCUAAGGUAGCGAAAUUCCUUGUCGGGUAAGUUCCGACCC